RNAcentral lists this ribosomal RNA (254 nucleotides) under uncultured bacterium. Its description in RNAcentral is "partial 16S ribosomal RNA". It matches the Rfam family "Bacterial small subunit ribosomal RNA", at positions 524 to 776 of the family's 1533-position model. The record is from RNAcentral.
UACGAAGGGGGCUAGCGUUGUUCGGAAUCACUGGGCGUAAAGGGCGCGUAGGCGGCCAGCACAAGUCAGUUGUGAAAUCUCCGAGCUUAACUCGGAACGGUCAACUGAUACUGUGCGGCUAGAGUGCGGAAGGGGCAACUGGAAUUCUUGGUGUAGCGGUGAAAUGCGUAGAUAUCAAGAGGAACACCUGCGGCGAAGGCGGGUUGCUGGGCCGACACUGACGCUGAGGCGCGAAAGCCAGGGGAGCGAACGGG